AUUAUACUGCGAAACUGCGAAUGGCUCAUUAAAUCAGUUAUCGUUUAUUUGAUAGUACCUUACUACUUGGAUAACCGUGGUAAUUCUAGAGCUAAUACAUGCUAAAAAUCCCGACUUCGGAAGGGAUGUAUUUAUUAGAUUAAAAACCAAUGCCCUUCGGGGCUCUCUGGUGAUUCAUGAUAACUUCUCGAAUCGCAUGGCCUUGCGCCGGCGAUGGUUCAUUCAAAUUUCUGCCCUAUCAACUUUCGACGGCUGGGUCUUGGCCAGCCAUGGUGAUCAACGGGUAACGGAGAGUUAGGGUUCGACUCCGGAGAAGGAGCCUGAGAAACGGCUACCACAUCCAAGGAAGGCAGCAGGCGCGCAAAUUACCCAAUCCCGACACGGGGAGGUAGUGACAAUAAAUACUGAUACAGGGCUCUUUUGGGUCUUGUAAUUGGAAUGAGUACAAUUUAAAUCCCUUAACGAGGAACAAUUGGAGGGCAAGUCUGGUGCCAGCAGCCGCGGUAAUUCCAGCUCCAAUAGCGUAUAUUAAAGUUGUUGCGGUUAAAAAGCUCGUAGUUGAACCUUGGGCCUGGCUGGCCGGUCUGCCUCACCGCGUGUACUGGUUCGGCCGGGCCUUUCCCUCUGGGGAACCGCAUGCCCUUCACUGGGUGUGCCGGGGAACCAGGACUUUUACUUUGAAAAAAUUAGAGUGUUCAAAGCAGGCCUAUGCUCGAAUACAUUAGCAUGGAAUAAUAGAAUAGGACGUGCGGUCCUAUUUUGUUGGUUUCUAGGACCGCCGUAAUGAUUAAUAGGGAUAGUCGGGGGCAUCAGUAUUCAAUUGUCAGAGGUGAAAUUCUUGGAUUUACUGAAGACUAACUACUGCGAAAGCAUUUGCCAAGGAUGUUUUCAUUAAUCAGUGAACGAAAGUUAGGGGAUCGAAGACGAUCAGAUACCGUCGUAGUCUUAACCGUAAACUAUGCCGACUAGGGAUCGGACGAUGUUAUUUUUUUGACUCGCUCGGCACCUUACGAGAAAUCAAAGUCUUUGGG
RNAcentral lists this ribosomal RNA (1031 nucleotides) under Physalospora obtusa. Its description in RNAcentral is "SSU rRNA". It matches the Rfam family "Eukaryotic small subunit ribosomal RNA", at positions 73 to 1111 of the family's 1831-position model. Lineage: Eukaryota; Fungi; Ascomycota; Sordariomycetes; Amphisphaeriales; Hyponectriaceae. The record is from RNAcentral.